CCUAAUUUCCCAAAUUAGAAACCCAAACCCUAGAGACCCCAUCCCUCACCCACGGAAGCCUCACAGCAAGAAAAAGGGGGAAGAUGGGAAUCAGAGAAGAGAAAAAGGAACCAGAGAGGAGGGAGAUGCCGUUGCAACUGCCGCCGUCCCUGUCGCCGUUUGCGGUGCCGGCGAGGAGUGCCGUCGCCAGGAGAGAAGAGUGACGCGGAGGAGGGAGAUGAAGCUUUAUUGUCGUCGCGCUUUGCUGCCACGAGGCCGCCGUCGCCGCUGCUUCGAAGGGAGCCGUAGUCAUCGCCGUCAAGCAUGAAGGGUGGAGAAGAGAGAGCUUGCUCAUCGCAGGAAGCAUAGCCGCGCCAUCACCGUUGAGCCUAGAUGCCAUCGAUGGAAGCCACCGCAGCCGCCUGAGAAGAACCCACAGAGAGAGAGGGAGCCCGAGAGAGGAACGCAAACCUCUGUGUUGCGCUGUCAUUCUGUCGCUGUUCUGCCGGGUUGAUGCUGCCUUUGCUAUCCAAGCUGUCACCAGAGUCUAGAACAGCACCAGCCUUCUUGUUCUGGUUCUGAUAUUCCUAUUCUUGAACCUGUGAUAGUGUCGGUGAUAAUAAAGAACUGUUGGAGUUGCUGCUGCUGCUGCUGUUCCGGCCGCAUUGGCUGUUGUAAACUAGGAAAAAGAAAAGGAUCGUUGCGUUUAAAUUCGACGGUUUCAACUAAUUGAGUGACACAGAUUCGAAGACUCCGUUUGAAGCUGCAGGCGAUUAUAGAUCUUAUUUAUGAGUUAAGUUUAUGACUUGAGUUAUUUUCAUAGAAGUUCCCUCGCUCUUAUUGCUUAACAUUUUUAUUCUAUACAGAGGGAUAGGAUUUGUAUCUAAGUUUUAUUGGAAAUCUUUUGUAUGACAGAUAUUAUUAUUAGUAAU
Molecule: long non-coding RNA, 911 nt
Organism: Arachis stenosperma
Lineage: Eukaryota; Viridiplantae; Streptophyta; Magnoliopsida; Fabales; Fabaceae
Exons: 3
Source: RefSeq, a predicted model, not a curated record